RNAcentral lists this ribosomal RNA (2039 nucleotides) under human gut metagenome. Its description in RNAcentral is "bacterial LSU rRNA". It matches the Rfam family "Bacterial large subunit ribosomal RNA", at positions 802 to 2805 of the family's 2925-position model. The record is from RNAcentral.
GGAUGAGUUGAGGUUAGGGGUGAAAUGCCAAUCGAACCAAGAGCUAGCUGGUUCUCCCCGAAAUGCGUUUAGGCACAGCGUUGGACUUAUCUUACCGGAGGUAGAGCACUGGUUUUGUGCGGGCGACGAAAUGCUGUACCAAACAAUGUCAAACUCCGAAUGCCUGCAAAGUAAGUAUCUGGCAGUGAGGCUAUGAGUGAUAAGAUCCAUGGCCAAGAGGGAAACAGCCCAGAACGCCAGUUAAGGUCCCAAAUAUAUGCUAAGUGGUUAAGGAGGUAGAGUUGCUGAGACAACCAGGAGGUUGGCUUAGAAGCAGCCAUCCCUUGAAAGAGUGCGUAAUAGCUCACUGGUCAAGCGUCUCCGCGCCGAAAAUACACCGGGACUAAAGCAUAUAACCGAAACUGCGUCAUAUAGUUUACUAUAUGGGUAGGGGAGCGUUCUGUAUUAGGAAGAAGUAAGAUCGAAAGGACUUAUGGACGAGACAGAAGUGAGAAUGUCGGCAUAAGUAGCGAAAACAUUGGUGAGAAUCCAAUGCACCGAAAACCUAAGGUUUCCCACGGCAGGCUCGUCCGCGUGGGGUUAGUCGGACCCUAAGCUCAGGCCGAAAGGCGUAGGCGAUGGACAUCAGGUUGAUAUUCCUGAACUAUCGAUUAAUCGAUACCAGAAGCGGAGGGACGCAGGAGGAUAGACACGCAGCCGACUGGAAGAGGCUGUUUAAGCGUGUAGGUAGAGUAAGUAGGAAAAUCCGCUUAUUCGUUAGAAACUGAGGCGCGAUGAGGAGAGUCUACGGACUUGAAGGUGUUGACUCCACACUGCCAAGAAAAACUUCGCUAUCGAGAUUAAUAGGUAUCCGUACCGGAAACCGCCACAGGUAGGUUGGUAGAGAAUACUAAGGUGCGCGAGAUAACUCUCGCUAAGGAACUCGGCAAAAUCACCUCGUAACUUCGGGAGAAGAGGUACCCUGGUAGCGUGAAAGACUACGCGUCUGGAGCGUGAUAGGGUCGCAGUGAAUAGGCCCAUGCGACUGUUUACCAAAAACACAGGUCUCUGCAAAGUCGAUCAAGACGAUGUAUAGGGGCUGACGCCUGCCCGGUGUCGGAAGGUUACGCGGAAGGGUUAGAGGUAACUCGAAGCUCUGAAGCUAAGCCCCGAUGAACGGCGGCCGUAACUAUAACGGUCCUAAGGUAGCGAAAUUCCUUGUCAGGUAAGUUCUGACCCGCACGAAUGGCGUAACGAUUUGGGCGCUGUCUCGGCGAGAGGCUCGGCGAAAUUGGAUUAUCCGUGAAGAUACGGAUUACGUGUACCAGGACAAGAAGACCCUAUUGAGCUUUACUGUAGCUUGAAAUUGAAUUCGGGUUCUUAUUGUGCAGUAUAGGUGGGAGACAUUGAAGCAGGGACGUCAGUUUCUGUGGAGUCAUCGUUGAGAUACCACUCUGUAAUAAUUUGAAUUCUAACCUUGAUCCCUCUAAGAACAGGGCAAGGGACAGUUUCUGGUAGGCAGUUUGACUGGGGCGGUCGCCUCCUAAAAAGUAACGGAGGCGUUCAAAGGUUCCCUCAGGUUGGUCGGAAAUCAACCAUUGAGUGCAAUAGCAAAAGGGAGCUUGACUGCGAGACAAACACGUCGAGCAGGUGCGAAAGCAGGAUAUAGUGAUCCGGUGGUUCUGAAUGGAAGGGCCAUCGCUCAUCGGAUAAAAGUUACCAUAGGGAUAACAGGCUUAUCUCCCCCAAGAGUCCACAUCGACGGGGAGGUUUGGCACCUCGAUGUCGGCUCGUCGCAUCCUGGAGCGGUAGUACGUUCCAAGGGUUGGGCUGUUCGCCCAUUAAAGCGGCACGCGAGCUGGGUUCAGAACGUCGUGAGACAGUUCGGUCUAUAUCCGGUAUACGCGCAAGAGAUUUGAACGGAGUCUUCCUUAGUACGAGAGGACCGGGAAGAGGGGACCUCCAGUGUACGGGUUAUCGCGCCAGCGGUAAACGCCCGGUAGCUGUGUUCCAAGCGGAUAAGUGCUGAAAGCAUAUAAGUACGAAGCCCACCGUAAGAU